GACGAACGCUGGCGGCGUGCUUAACACAUGCAAGUCGAACGGAAAGGCCCUGCUUUUGUGGGGUGCUCGAGUGGCGAACGGGUGAGUAACACGUGAGUAACCUGCCCUUGACUUUGGGAUAACUUCAGGAAACUGGGGCUAAUACCGGAUAGGAGCUCCUGCUGCACGGUGUGGGUUGGAAAGUUUCGGCGGUUGGGGAUGGACUCGCGGCUUAUCAGCUUGUUGGUGGGGUAGUGGCUUACCAAGGCUUUGACGGGUAGCCGGCCUGAGAGGGUGACCGGCCACAUUGGGACUGAGAUGCGGCCCAGACUCCUACGGGAGGCAGCAGUGGGGAAUAUUGCACAAUGGGCGGAAGCCUGAUGCAGCAACGCCGCGUGCGGGAUGACGGCCUUCGGGUUGUAAACCGCUUUCGCCUGUGACGAAGCGUGAGUGACGGUAAUGGGUAAAGAAGCACCGGCUAACUACGUG
Molecule: ribosomal RNA, 468 nt
Filed under: uncultured bacterium
Lineage: Bacteria
Description: partial 16S ribosomal RNA
Rfam family: Bacterial small subunit ribosomal RNA
Source: RNAcentral